CGCAGGCGCAGGGCAACUGGUAAGCCGCGUGGCUCAUAACCACGAAACACCGGGUUCGACUCCCGGGCCUGCAACCA
This 77-nucleotide transfer RNA is filed under the name Ensifer meliloti. RNAcentral describes it as "Sinorhizobium meliloti tRNA-Met". It matches the Rfam family "tRNA". Rfam says of the family: Transfer RNA (tRNA) molecules are approximately 80 nucleotides in length. Their secondary structure includes four short double-helical elements and three loops (D, anti-codon, and T loops). Lineage: Bacteria; Pseudomonadati; Pseudomonadota; Alphaproteobacteria; Hyphomicrobiales; Rhizobiaceae. The record is from RNAcentral.